GAAGGAUACUACAUGAACUUCUAUUUGCAGUGUUUUUGUGGUUUCACUGACCAGCAGCCUGCAGCCUCAGGACAGUUCCUCUCGUGGACUCUUGAGGCUGAAUCCAAAAGCAAACCAAUCUUCAUAGACUCCCAUGCUAUAUUGCUAAAUUUACAGCAUGGUGCAGUUUUUGCUGCUGGCACUUUAUUGCAAUGUAUUCACACUUCAAAUUAAGAAAUGUCAUCAGGGACAGUAGCUCUUUGGCUAAAAUCAUUUUACAAUUUUACAAAUCUCAUGAGUCAAGCUUGCUAGUUUCAGCUUAAGGUUUAGCACGCCACCAUCACCAGUUCUAGUCUGCUCUGGCUCAGAAGAAACAGAAUGGAGGUAUUCAAAACAGUCCACCUUUUAUAUACAGUUAAUGAUAUUCAUAGGUCACUCCAUUCUUUGCAACAUAAGUGCUUUAACACAUACAACUGAGGGAAAAUCACAAAGUCCAAGUGCAAACCACACUUAGAUGCUUCCAUCAACCAAGAGAUCCAAAUCCAGAACAUUUGUUGCUGUGAGGAAACGGUACUAAGUACUGAAUCACACUUUCCAAAAGGUUAGGUAACAGGUAUAUGAUUUCAGUUCAUUAUAUAAUUAUACCCAAAUGUCUAUUUUUCAGGUUAAUAGUGAACAUUUUGACUUGAUCACAUGAAAAGAUUCACUUUUUCAAGGGGUAUAGUUCUAGGCUAGGGAUAAAAAAAAAAAAUCACUAACUACAUCCAAAACAUAUUACCGUAUAUCCCUUUUACACAAGGAUGUACAAACACAAAUUUCUCCCUGAAGCAAAGCUUUCAUUUUAAAGUUAAAAUGUAAUAUUAGUCAAUUACAUCAAACCCAGUUUUAAAAUUGGGACAAAAAGGGAAUAGUCAGUGUGACAAAUGUUCAACAAGUAAUGCCUUUCUUCCUCUCUCCAAAUGAAGCAGCGCUCCAGCUUUUCACUAUUCUUGUAAGAAUAAAACACACCAUUCUGCUUGCCAGCCGCUUGAUAAUUUAUUCCUUAUAUAGGGGUAAAAAGCUGAUUCAGCGCAUUGUCUUCAGCCACUACAGCUGUAUCUAAGGCCCGGCUGCAUGUAAUCUCUCUUCUGUGACAAGACGGAUGACUCGUCAGGCUUUGUGCUGAAAAUCCUCCAUCCUUGUAGAGUCUUUUAUUUCAGGAGUGCACGCAGGCACCUGCAGACCUGUGUCCUAGAUUGUGAACUGGUCUACGUUGGAGGGCAGAGGGUACAACGUGAUAGUAAACUCUAUGUCGUCAUUAGCUUUCAACAAUCAAAUCCUCUAACGGAGUUGG
Long non-coding RNA from Astatotilapia calliptera (eastern happy), 1312 nucleotides. The record is from Ensembl. Lineage: Eukaryota; Metazoa; Chordata; Actinopteri; Cichliformes; Cichlidae.